GCCUCUUUUUGUCUGCAGGCCAGCGGUGUAGUCUACGCAAUACGCAGGUAUACACAGUAUACCCACUGAGA
Long non-coding RNA from Sander lucioperca (pikeperch), 71 nucleotides. RefSeq lists it as uncharacterized. The transcript is spliced from 3 exons. NCBI's taxonomy places the organism in Eukaryota, Metazoa, Chordata, Actinopteri, Perciformes, Percidae. The record is from RefSeq and is a predicted model, not a curated record.